Molecule: ribosomal RNA, 403 nt
Filed under: uncultured bacterium
Lineage: Bacteria
Description: bacterial SSU rRNA
Rfam family: Bacterial small subunit ribosomal RNA
Source: RNAcentral
GUGGGGAAUAUUGCACAAUGGGCGAAAGCCUGAUGCAGCAACGCCGCGUGAGUGAUGAAGGCCUUCGGGUUGUAAAGCUCUGUCUUCUGGGACGAUAAUGACGGUACCAGAGGAGGAAGCCACGGCUAACUACGUGCCAGCAGCCGCGGUAAUACGUAGGUGGCAAGCGUUGUCCGGAUUUACUGGGCGUAAAGGAUGCGUAGGCGGAUACUUAAGUCAGAUGUGAAAAUCCCGGGCUUAACUUGGGAACUGCAUUUGAAACUGGGUAUCUAGAGUGCGGGAGAGGAAAGUGGAAUUCCUAGUGUAGCGGUGAAAUGCGUAGAGAUUAGGAAGAACACCAGUGGCGAAGGCGACUUUCUGGACCGUAACUGACGCUGAGGCACGAAAGCGUGGGUAGCAAACA